GGAAGCGUGCCCGAAACCACAAGGACUGCUUUGAUAAAGCAGACAUGGGGUCAAACAGUCACCCCCACUUCCU
This 73-nucleotide transfer RNA is filed under the name Lophosaurus boydii (Boyd's forest dragon). RNAcentral's name for it is "tRNA-Ile". Lineage: Eukaryota; Metazoa; Chordata; Lepidosauria; Squamata; Agamidae. The record is from RNAcentral.